CCCACCUUACUUGAACAUGACCUGUUCUAUAGGCUCGUACCGCAGCAUCCUUUACCAAUAAGGAGGGCCGUUCUGAU
This 77-nucleotide small nucleolar RNA is filed under the name Aegilops tauschii subsp. strangulata. RNAcentral describes it as "snoRNA Plant_U3". Lineage: Eukaryota; Viridiplantae; Streptophyta; Magnoliopsida; Poales; Poaceae. The record is from RNAcentral.